UACGUAGGGGGCAAGCGUUAUCCGGAUUUACUGGGUGUAAAGGGAGUGUAGGUGGUCAUGCAAGUCUGAAGUGAAAUCCCGGGGCUCAACCCCGUGACUGCUUUGGAAACUGUGUGACUGGAGUGCAGGAGAGGUAAGCGGAAUUCCUAGUGUAGCGGUGAAAUGCGUAGAUAUUAGGAAGAACACCGGUGGCGAAGGCGGCUUACUGGACUGUAACUGACACUGAGGCUCGAAAGCGUGGGGAGCAAAC
This 250-nucleotide ribosomal RNA is filed under the name uncultured prokaryote. RNAcentral describes it as "partial 16S ribosomal RNA". It matches the Rfam family "Bacterial small subunit ribosomal RNA", at positions 524 to 773 of the family's 1533-position model. The record is from RNAcentral.